RNAcentral lists this ribosomal RNA (455 nucleotides) under uncultured bacterium. RNAcentral's name for it is "bacterial SSU rRNA". It matches the Rfam family "Bacterial small subunit ribosomal RNA", at positions 340 to 786 of the family's 1533-position model. The record is from RNAcentral.
UACGGAAGGCAGCAGUGGGGAAUAUUGCACAAUGGGCGCAAGCCUGAUGCAGCCAUGCCGCGUGUAUGAAGAAGGCCUUCGGGUUGUAAAGUACUUUCAGUCGUGAGGAAGGUGUUAAGGUUAAUAACCUUAGCAAUUGACGUUAGCGACAGAAGAAGCACCGGCUAACUCCGUGCCAGCAGCCGCGGUAAUACGGAGGGUGCGAGCGUUAAUCGGAAUUACUGGGCGUAAAGGGCACGCAGGCGGUUAAUUAAGUUGGAUAUGAAAUCCCCGGGCUUAACCUGGGAAUGGCAUUCAAGACUGGUUAGCUAGAGUCUUGUAGAGGGGGUAGAAUUCCAUGUGUAGCGGUGAAAUGCGUAGAGAUGUGGAGGAAUACCGGGUGGCGAAGGCGGCCCCUGGGACAAAGACUGACGCUCAUGUGCGAAAGCGUGGGGAGCAAACAGGGAUUAGAUACC